RNAcentral lists this ribosomal RNA (495 nucleotides) under uncultured bacterium. RNAcentral describes it as "partial 16S ribosomal RNA". It matches the Rfam family "Bacterial small subunit ribosomal RNA", at positions 30 to 507 of the family's 1533-position model. The record is from RNAcentral.
UGAACGCUGGCGGCGUGCCUAAUACAUGCAAAUCGAGCGAACAGACGAGGAGCUUGCUCCUCUGACGUUAGCGGCGGACGGGUGAGUAACACGUGGAUAACCUACCUAUAAGACUGGGAUAACUUCGGGAAACCGGAGCUAAUACCGGAUAAUAUAUUGAACCGCAUGGUUCAAUAGUGAAAGACGGUUUUGCUGUCACUUAUAGAUGGAUCCGCGCCGCAUUAGCUAGUUGGUAAGGUAACGGCUUACCAAGGCAACGAUGCGUAGCCGACCUGAGAGGGUGAUCGGCCACACUGGAACUGAGACACGGUCCAGACUCCUACGGGAGGCAGCAGUAGGAAAUCUUCCGCAAUGGGCGAAAGCCUGACGGAGCAACGCCGCGUGAGUGAUGAAGGUCUUCGGAUCGUAAAACUCUGUUAUUAGGGAAGAACAAAUGUGUAAGUAACUAUGCACGUCUUGACGGUACCUGAUCAGAAAGCCACGGCUAACUACGUG